This 157-nucleotide ribosomal RNA is filed under the name uncultured bacterium. RNAcentral describes it as "partial 16S ribosomal RNA". It matches the Rfam family "Bacterial small subunit ribosomal RNA", at positions 355 to 509 of the family's 1533-position model. The record is from RNAcentral.
UGAGGAAUAUUGGUCAAUGGCCGGAAGGCUGAACCAGCCAAGCCGCGUGAAGGACGAAGGUGCCAAGCAUUGUAAACUUCUUUUGUCAAGGGACAAAAUCAGGCUCGAGAGCCUGACCGAGGGUACUUGAAGAAAAAGCAUCGGCUAACUCCGUGCC